CGCAUGGCUUGUGUCUCGUUCGCGCGCGUACGUAUGGCUCCGCUUUUAGUUUUUGGCGAAUGCUUAGAAGCAUCAAGUUGCGGACACUGCGGUGGGCCAGGGCUUGAUGACAUUUGUUGUCCAGCUGCUGGUGCUACCGCGACGUACUUGGAGCAACGCUUCUGCCUAUUUCCUCUGCCUGCACCUUAUAUUUGUUGUGUUUAUCGAGACCUGGCCUGUCUCUGCCUCGUUGAAGACAAAUGGGCAGAAGUACUGGUUGCUGUUGGUUUGUUUGGUUUGCUCAGUCUGAGCGUGGAUUGCUCGUUGGCAGCACGUGCUCAUGCAGCAGCUGACGUGUCUUCGAUGUGUUUCGCCCUGGUAGUGCGGUCGUCUUUGUGGUUCUAGAGCUGCGCUGGCAUUGCCCAAGAACAGGAUAUAUCGGCAUGGCGCAGAAUUGCAGAGUGGGGGCGCUCCAUUCUAUUCCCACUCCAUUCCUUCAGAGUUGUGGCUUAUGUGAUUCCAGUCCUUUUGUCGGAGUUCUGACAGUUGAACCAUUCCCACUCCUUGAGUGGUCGAACUAAUCUACUCCAAUCCUCCAAUUACAGUAAAUAAAAUGCUUUCUGUAUAAUUA
Long non-coding RNA from Dermacentor albipictus, 610 nucleotides. RefSeq lists it as uncharacterized. The record is from RefSeq and is a predicted model, not a curated record. Lineage: Eukaryota; Metazoa; Arthropoda; Arachnida; Ixodida; Ixodidae.